GGCUCUCCCUGCAUCCCCCCUCUGGGGCUGGCAAUCCCCUCCCUCCAGCUCCAGGGCUGAGCAUCCCUCCUGCCCAAAGUCCCUUCCUCAGGCUGCGGGCAGGCUGCAGGGCAGCAGUUCCCCAGUUCCUCUGCCCGCCGUGCUGCCUGCAGAUCCCCAGCACCGUGCCUGCCUUGGAGGGCAUCCAGCACGCUCACUGCAACCCCAGACAAACAAACAGCAGUUGUGCAAGGGUGCGGGGCAGGCAUCUCCGGCAGGAAACAAAGCGCAGGACUUGCUCUAUUUUAAUCCUGCCAAGGGUCUUCUUGGAAGCGAGGCAGAGCCCGGCUGUGCAGAGUUAAGAAUGAAACCCUAUUUUUAGCCUGUCCCCGGUGAGCCAUCUCCAGGGAAGAACCGAAGCCCAGAUCGGUGUGGUCUCCUGCUGGUGACCUCCAAGCACCCAAAAGUGAAGGAACCACAGAGCAUCUGGGGCUGAGUGAGCAACCUCACUGCAAAACCCAACUGGGAGAGAUGGAGCGAGCGCUGCGGGGACUUCGGGAGGCAUGUCUGCAGGUAUCCGAGCACUGCUGCUUUUCAAAGCCAAAGGACUGCUGUUAAUAUUCAUGGGAAGGAAGAUGAAAAGGCACUGGAGGAGGGAGCGCGUGGCGGGGUACCGAGGAAGUCCCAGCAUGUUUUAUCCUGUGCUUGCAGCAGAGAGAGGAAGGCUCGCGGUCCGAGUGCAGCUGCUCUGUGCUAUAGAUUGCACUCCCAGAUUGUCUUCCUGCCAGCUGCCCCCAACGCCAAACCGAAGGCUCCAGUGGGAAGAAGUGCUAAUUUAAGGAGCUCUCUCUGAAGCAAAGGCUCUUCACCCAGGAAGCCCAGCACAGCUCAAAUUAGCUUUGCUGCUGGCAACCUCAGCUGUAAAGCCAUGGUCUGAAACAGAAACACCUCCAGUCGGGAUCUCUCCUCAAUAAAAACUUAAUUUGCUGCUGCUUUGCCAUUCCCUUGCAAUGAUUUCAGAGGCCCCUGUGUAUGGAUCUGUCAAGAAGCAAAAUGCCAAGACAAAUUUAAAAGCAGCUUUAAAAUUACCUUGAAUCUAUACCGUUUGAUUGCUUUGCUGAUAAGAAAAACACUGAAUGAUUCCUAUCAGGAAAUCAAAAAACCAAUCAGAUUUCAGCUGUCUUCUCGGAGAGGCGCAGCGCAUCGGGGUUAGGAGCGAUGCAGCAGAAAUACCCUUCCAGGGGUCUUCCUGGUGACACACUGCAGGGGAGGGUGAGCCGGCCAAGAAUUCUCCUCCAGCUAUUUGUGGGUUUGUGCCACUGCGCUGCAAUAGUCCUCAGCUGCUUCUGUGUAUUUCUAAAGCUUCCCUCAGCUGUGUGUGUGAAAGCUGAGCACGAAACCCACCCAUCGGUUUGGCAUUUGGCUUCACCUGUCUCAGUGCGUCUGUACCACUGGAGCACACUUUCUCCCUUAUGCAGAGCCUAUUGGUGGCUCUCAUCAGGCCAGACCCCAAAGAUGCCCUCAGUGAAACCUCCACUGGAACCAUCUUCCAUUGGAAGCAUUUUUCCUCUCCUAGAAACUGGCUGAAGAAAAGCUGUUCGGGUAUAUCUAAGCGCACAGUAAGAUUUCUCCUGAAGAAAUCAAGAUCAAAGCUCACACAAUUAGGAACAAACUAAAAGCAAAGGCACCUUUACUAAAGCUCAUUAAAAAUAUCCUUUGUGCCGAUCUCCUGUGUGGCACCCAAAGUCUCAUG
Gallus gallus (chicken) is the source of this 1732-nucleotide long non-coding RNA. The record is from Ensembl. NCBI's taxonomy places the organism in Eukaryota, Metazoa, Chordata, Aves, Galliformes, Phasianidae.